This 605-nucleotide ribosomal RNA is filed under the name uncultured Gammaproteobacteria bacterium. Its description in RNAcentral is "bacterial SSU rRNA". It matches the Rfam family "Bacterial small subunit ribosomal RNA", at positions 35 to 636 of the family's 1533-position model. Lineage: Bacteria; Pseudomonadati; Pseudomonadota; Gammaproteobacteria. The record is from RNAcentral.
GUUGGCGGCAGGUUCUAACACAUGCAAGUACGAGCGCGAAAUCCCUUCGGGGUGAGUAGAGCGGCGGACGGGUGAGUAAUGCUUGGGAAUCUGCCCAAUAGUGGGGGACAACGUGUGGAAACGCACGCUAAUACCGCAUACGUCCUACGGGAGAAAGCAGGGGAUCUUCGGACCUUGCGCUAUUGGAUGAGCCCAAGUCGGAUUAUCUAGUUGGUGGGGUAAUGGCUCACCAAGGCGACGAUCCGUAGCUGGUCUGAGAGGAUGAUCAGCCACACUGGGACUGAGACACGGCCCAGACUCCUACGGGAGGCAGCAGUGGGGAAUAUUGGACAAUGGGCGAAAGCCUGAUCCAGCCAUGCCGCGUGUGUGAAGAAGGCUCUAGGGUUGUAAAGCACUUUCAGUAGGGAGGAACGGUUGUUGAUUAAUACUCAACAAUUUUGACGUUACCUACAGAAGAAGCACCGGCAAACUCCGUGCCAGCAGCCGCGGUAAUACGGAGGGUGCGAGCGUUAAUCGGAAUUACUGGGCGUAAAGCGCGCGUAGGUGGUUUGAUAAGCUAGCUGUGAAAGCCCCGGGCUCAACCUGGGAACUGCAGUUAGAACUGU